Molecule: ribosomal RNA, 530 nt
Filed under: uncultured bacterium
Lineage: Bacteria
Description: bacterial SSU rRNA
Rfam family: Bacterial small subunit ribosomal RNA
Source: RNAcentral
CUUGACAUCCAGCGAAUUCGGUAGNGAUACCUUAGUGCCUUCGGGAACGCUGAGACAGGUGCUGCAUGGCUGUCGUCAGCUCGUGUUGUGAAAUGUUGGGUUAAGUCCCGCAACGAGCGCAACCCUUAUCCUUUGUUGCCAGCGGUCCGGCCGGGAACUCAAAGGAGACUGCCAGUGAUAAACUGGAGGGAAGGUGGGGAUGACGUCAAGUCAUCAUGGCCCUUACGAGUAGGGCUACACACGUGCUACAAUGGCGCAUACAAAGAGAAGCGACCUCGCGAGAGCAAGCGGACCUCAUAAAGUGCGUCGUAGUCCGGAUUGGAGUCUGCAACUCGACUCCAUGAAGUCGGAAUCGCUAGUAAUCGUAGAUCAGAAUGCUACGGUGAAUACGUUCCCGGGCCUUGUACACACCGCCCGUCACACCAUGGGAGUGGGUUGCAAAAGAAGUAGGUAGCUUAACCUUCGGGAGGGCGCUUACCACUUUGUGAUUCAUGACUGGGGUGAAGUCGUAACAAGGUAAGCGUACGUGU